AGGUGAAAAGAACCCCGGGAGGGGAGUGAAAUAGACCUGAAACCGUAGACUUACAAGCCGUAGGAGGUUUUUUAUAAACUGACUGCGUGCCUAUUGAAGAAUGAGCCGUCGAGUUAAUUUAAGCAGCUAGGUUAAGAAACAUACGUUUCGGAGCCGUAGCGAAAGCGAGCCUGAAUAGGGCGUGAAUUUGUCGAAAACAAACCUGUCUUCCGAAAGCAUCUUUUUUGUUGAUUAUUUUGCUUGCAAAAUAAGAUUUAAAUUUGAUAUUUGAAGUUGAUGGUCGAGUUUUCAUUAUGGCAAAUGUGUUGCUUGAAUUAGACCCGAAACCGAGUGAGCUACCCAUGGCCAGGUUGAAGCCCAGGUAAAACCUGAGUGAAGGACCGAACCCGUGUAUGUUGCAAAAUGCUGGGAUGAGCUGUGGGUAGAGGUGAAAUGCCAAUCGAACUCGGAGAUAGCUGGUUCUCCCCGAAAUGUAUUUAGGUACAGCCUCAAUCGUAGUCUUAAGGAGGUAGGGCACUGGAUGGGAUAGGGGGCGUAAGCUUACCAAACCUAACCAAACCACGAAUGCCUUAAGAUGUUCAUUGGGAGUGAGACAGUGGGGGAUAAGCUUCAUUGUCGAAAGGGAAACAGCCCAGACCGCAGGUUAAGGCCCCUAAAUGUGAACUAAGUGUGAAAGGAAGUAAGAUUCCUAAAACAGCUAGGAGGUUGGCUUAGAAGCAGCCAUCCUUUGAAGAGUGCGUAACUGCUCACUAGUCGAGGAAUCUUGCGCCGAAAAUGUAACGGGGCUAAGUUCACUGCCGAAACCGCGGAUCUAAUAAUUUAUUAUUAGGUGGUAGGGGAGCGUUGUUAUCAGCAUAGAAGCUCAAAUGUGAGUUUGAGUGGAGCAAUGACAAGUGAGAAUGGCGGCAUGAGUAGCGACAAUCCUGGUGAGAAUCCAGGACACCGAAAGCACCAAGGUUUCCUACACAACGCUGAUCGAUGUAGGGUAAGUCGGGCCUAAGCCGUAGCGUGCAAGCGAAGGCGAUGGACAACGGGUUAAUAUUCCCGUACUGCUACUAUUUUGUUAUAAAGUAAAGGGGGGACACGGAAAGGUAAACGAAGCGUGCCUAUUGGACAUGGUACGUUCUAUCCCGUAGGCCAAGCUAUAAUAGGCAAAUCCGUUAUAGCGUUACGAGCUGAGAGGAUGGAGAACUUUCGGGCUUCGGCCCUAGGGAACUUCGUUGAUCCUAUACCGUCGAGAAAAGCCUCGUUACAAGAAAUAGAAGCAUCCGUACCGCAAACCGACACAGGUAGGCUGGGGUAAGUGUCCCAAGGUGAACGAGAUAACCCUCCUUAAGGAAUUCGACAAAUUAGCCCUGUAACUUUGGGAGAAAGGGUGCCCAUGAGGUGAAAUCCACUUGCUGGAUGGAGGCCUUUGUGGGUCGCAGCAAAGAGGCUCAGGCGACUGUUUAUCAAAAACACAGGUGUCUGCUAAACCGAAAGGUGAUGUAUAGGCGCUGACGCCUGCCCAGUGCCGGAAGGUUAAGGGAAUGGGUUCGUUAAAUUCGUUUAACAAAGCUCAGAACCGAAGCCCCGGUGAACGGCGGCCGUAACUAUAACGGUCCUAAGGUAGCGAAGUCCCUUGUCGGGUAAGUUCCGACCUGCACGAAUGGCGUCACGACCUGAGCGUUGUCUCAAGGGGGGACUCGGUGAAAUUGCAAGGCCAGUGAAGAUGCUGGCUACCCGCAACAGGACAAAAAGACCCCGUGGAGCUUUACUGCAACUUGACAGUGGAUUGUGGUUAUAUAUGUGUAGGAUAGGCGGGAGACUUUGAAGCUAUCACGCCAGUGAUAGUGGAGUCAACCUUGAAAUACCGCUCUUCUAUGACCUAUGUCCUAACCCCUUUGAAAUAGGGGGACCCUGCCAGGUGGGCAGUUUGACUGGGGCGGUCGCCUCCUAAA
Molecule: ribosomal RNA, 1940 nt
Filed under: marine metagenome
Description: bacterial LSU rRNA
Rfam family: Bacterial large subunit ribosomal RNA
Source: RNAcentral